GGGGUGUUAGCUCAGCUUGGUUAGAGUGCCUGCCUGUCACGCAGGAGGUCGCGAGUUCAAGUCUCGUACACCCCG
Molecule: transfer RNA, 75 nt
Filed under: Spirochaetota bacterium
Lineage: Bacteria; Pseudomonadati; Spirochaetota
Also listed under: 1 other name
Description: Spirochaetes bacterium (hot springs metagenome) tRNA-Asp
Rfam family: tRNA
About the family: Transfer RNA (tRNA) molecules are approximately 80 nucleotides in length.
Source: RNAcentral